Oncorhynchus tshawytscha (Chinook salmon) is the source of this 1981-nucleotide long non-coding RNA. NCBI's taxonomy places the organism in Eukaryota, Metazoa, Chordata, Actinopteri, Salmoniformes, Salmonidae. The record is from Ensembl.
UGGUGAGGUUGGGUAAUGUGUUAUGAAUAGUGGUGGUGAGGUUGGGUAAUGUGUUAUGAAUAGUGGUUGUGAGGUUGGGUAAUGUGUUAUGAAUAGUGGUGGUGAGGUUGGGUAAUGUGUUAUGAAUAGUGGUGGUGAGGUUGGGUAAUGUGUUAUGAAUAGUGGUGGUGAGGUUGGGUAAUGUGUUAUGAAUAGUGGUGGUGAGGUUGGGUAAUGUGUUAUGAAUAGUGGUGGUGAGGUUGGGUAGCAGGUUAUGAAUAGUGGUGGUGAGGUUGGGUAAUGUGUUAUGAAUAGUGGUGGUGAGGUUGGGUAAUGUGUUAUGAAUAGUGGUGGUGAGGCUGGGUAAUGUGUUAUGAAUAGUGGUGGUGAGGUUGGGUAAUGUGUUAUGAAUAGUGGUUGUGAGGUUGGGUAAUGUGUUAUGAAUAGUGGUGGUGAGGUUGGGUAAUGUGUUAUGAAGAGCCCCUCUAUGUACCGUAGGUACCGUAUGUGUCAUUGUCAUUCCUUCUUUUCUGUCCCUAGGUUUUCAGAAGACUCCGCCUCGGCCCUGAGCCCCCCCUCAGUUCGUUCCCUGUCCCCCUCCCCUAUCCACCACUCCCAGCCCGCCCUGUCCCUGUCCCCCACCCCUUCCUCCCAGUACCCCAACUGGAACCGUCCCCGUCCCCCCAGCCCUCUGUGGCUGCCGUACAGCCCCCUCCACGCUCCCACUCUCCCCUGUCCUCCCCACCUACUCCCCUUAUCCCACCUCCCCUAAACACCGGCCUGUGUAUCGCACCAAAGCCCUGGAGUUCCAGUUCAUUCCAAGUAGAGAGUCCAGGAAGGCAGAGUCCCACCACCUGCAGCGUAGGAGAGCCCCCAGUCCCCUCAUCUCCCCUCAGAGAGGCCCAAACUGGGUCCCCCCCCCCUCCUCCCUCCCCCUCCUCCCCCACCACACCCCUCUACAGCAGCCUCUAUGAGCUUCGCGGCUCUAUGACCCCGCCCUCACCCGCUAACCACAUGGGGGACCCCUACUUCUCCCCUUCCCCUCCUCUCUUCGCCCCCUCUGGUGCCCCUCCUCCCCCAAACGCCUCCCUGUUGGUGUCUCGCUCCCUCUCCCCACACACUUUUUAUCUGGUAGCUCAUCCCCUCCCCUGCACCCUCUCCCCGCUCCCCCUGCCUGAGCUACCCCCACCUCCCUCCCCCAGCCCCCUCCAAGCCCUUUGCCUCCAAGCCACUGCCUUAUUGGACCAAAUACGACGUGGCUGAUUGGCUGGGAUACCUGAACCUGGGCGAGCACAGGGAGCAUUUCCUGGACAACGAGAUCGACGGCACUCACCUGCCCUCCCUCACCAAGGAGGACUAUCUGGACCUGGGGGUGACGCGUGUCGGACAGCGCAUGAACAUCGCCCGCGCUCUGAAGAGAGUGACUGACAGGCUCUCCAGCUCUCCUUUUCCCAUUUCUGCUCUGUCACCACGAGGAAGAAGAGAUGAUGGGAGUCGGAGCUGAGAAGACAAACAGAAAGAGAAAGGAGGGGGGAUGGAGUCAGUGAGGGAACAGGAGAGAGAGAGGCCACAACUGCUGCUAUCCAUGAUGGAUUCACACAACAAAAGCAAAGGACCUGAUUUCACCCAGAGGGAGGACCGAUCAGGAAAAGAGAGGGGAAAUGAGGGAUGGAACAAGGGCUGACCAAUGCCUGGUACUCAGGGCCUGGUAGCUGACUCUCACAGAUACACUCGCAUGCACACAAAUACAGUAACACACACAAGCACUGACUCUAAUGUCAACACACACACACAAACACUACGAGGAUGGAAUGACUGAAUGUACAUUGAGGCAACAAAUAACAAUAUGAGUAAAACAGUGACAAAACUUUGCCCAAAAUAUUGAGAGAAACAAUCAAGUUGUUUAGCUUUUUCAUCUGAGCAGUUCUUAGUGUUGUUGGGGAAAGAGAGAACAAGGAUUGUCCUCAUUAUUAACACUAGUUAGAGCUUUCUCCACCUGUCU